Molecule: long non-coding RNA, 638 nt
Filed under: Coturnix japonica (Japanese quail)
Lineage: Eukaryota; Metazoa; Chordata; Aves; Galliformes; Phasianidae
Description: lncRNA (ENSCJPG00005013868.1)
Source: RNAcentral
GUGAAAUUAACUCUGAGGCAGCCAGAGUAUAUGGAUUAAAACUGUUUUUCAACCUUCAACAGAUUUCAGCAAAGGUUCUGCUACAUCCUCUUGCUUCCUCUCCUUUCUUGUUAGAAUGUUUGAGGAUUUUUUUUAUUUUUUUUUUUUUCAGUCACAAUCUUUUCUGAGAUGUUUCCUGAGAUAUUAUUAUGGAGAAGUAAUGUAGAUGAUAAAAAAGCAUGAAAAAGUGUUCAAAAAGAAGUGGAAAAAGAUCAGCAGCAGGACCCCACCACCCCCAUGCAACAGAGGUUCAAAGAUGCUGCAUUCCUUGUGCUGUGCCACCAGCUCUGGCUGCCAGCGUGCCCUCUGAUGACUUUCUUUAAUCCUCUUUCUUGCAUAGAUGGGGACCAGAACCUAUGGAAACAACAACUGCAAGUGGAAAUCCAUGUGGAGAGAAGUACCUGCAUAUCCGUUCUAUUGAAAUGUUUCCAACAAAACCAAAAGGAUGUUGUGGCCAAAUGCCUGCAUUGCCUUCAUGCAGAGAACACUAAUCAGAAAUAAUGCUUCCAUGUGAAUGAACAGCUGUGCAGAUGGUGGCAAAUGGAAUAUCCGUCUGGGAGCAGAGCUGAAUAAAUGUAGCAUAAUGGGACCUAUGAACA